Molecule: ribosomal RNA, 459 nt
Filed under: uncultured bacterium
Lineage: Bacteria
Description: partial 16S ribosomal RNA
Rfam family: Bacterial small subunit ribosomal RNA
Source: RNAcentral
CCUACGGGUGGCAGCAGUGAGGAAUAUUGGUCAAUGGUCGGGAGACUGAACCAGCCAAGCCGCGUGAGGGAUGAAGGUACAGAGUAUCGUAAACCUCUUUUGUCAGGGAACAAAGGCGGGGACGUGUCCCCGGAUGAGUGUACCUGAAGAAAAAGCAUCGGCUAACUCCGUGCCAGCAGCCGCGGUAAUACGGAGGAUGCGAGCGUUAUCCGGAUUUAUUGGGUUUAAAGGGUGCGCAGGCGGAAUGUUAAGUCAGCGGUAAAAGCCCGGGGCUCAACCCCGGCCCGCCGUUGAAACUGGCAGUCUCGAGUGGGAGAGAAGUAUGCGGAAUGCGCGGUGUAGCGGUGAAAUGCAUAGAUAUCGCGCAGAACUCCGAUUGCGAAGGCAGCAUGCCGGCUCCACACUGACGCUGAGGCACGAAAGCGUGGGUAUCGAACAGGAUUAGAUACCCUGGUAGUC